Long non-coding RNA from Lolium perenne, 1843 nucleotides. RefSeq lists it as uncharacterized. The record is from RefSeq and is a predicted model, not a curated record. NCBI's taxonomy places the organism in Eukaryota, Viridiplantae, Streptophyta, Magnoliopsida, Poales, Poaceae.
GUGCGAUGGAGGUCCUAAUUUUUAUAUUUAAGUAUUUCUUUUGUGUGACCAUUUUUAUAUGUGUAUGCUUCAUUUCACGCCACGUGUAGAGUAGUAUUUACUGGUGUGGUUUUCAAUUAAUCUGUCGAACUGGGGGCAAGAAGUUUUGUCUCAUCCAUGGGCAUUGAAAAAACUUGAUCCUGUUCUAAAUGAUCUGGAAGCUGCUGGUCUGCAUGGUAUUGACUAUUGAGGCAUGACAAACCGAUAGUAUGGGCAGAAUAAUCAUUUUGCAAUUAAUUGCAAGAAGUAAUACUUAAUUCAAGUCUUUUAAGCACACCUCACUUCUUCGUAUCCACCUAUGGCCUUCCAGGGAGCAGCAUUACAACGGUAAACCAUGGUCUCCCUGCCCCCAACUCCUCUGGAUCCGCCAUCCCUAUUCAUUUUUUGGUUCAAAAACAUCUCUCUUAUAGUGAUGCUUCAGUGUUGGUUCAGGUUUGGACUUUCUUUGUGUUAGUGCUGAAAAUUCCAAUGAAUUUUACCAUAUUCAUCCAACCAUGCAUUAUUUUUUAAACUGUAUGAGAUGUUUAGGAACAGUAAUCAUUCACUUGGGAUUUGGUUAAACUCUUCCUCGAACAUAUUUCUCACAAGUCCAAAGUGGAGUUUUUUUCCAUAUUGUUUGUGAUAUGUUCGAUUUGGCUAAUUGCAGAUUUUUUGUAUGGUGCUAGGUGCUAGCUUGUACAAGGGGUGCGUGCAUGUACCUACUUGUGUACUUUGACUAGCUUCUGGGUUUUCAUGCAUAUAUAGUUAUAAGCACAUACGCGAACAUGGAUGUACUUUCACAAUGUCUUAAUCUUGUCGCCAUUGUUUUUUGUGCACCAUUAAUAAAGUAGAGAACAGUGGGUAGAUGAUUUUGCCAGGUUUUAAAUUCACAUGGAAGCAAAGCACUCUCUUGGAUUGCUGAAUGAUUUGUAGUUGGUUCUAGCUAGCUUCAGGUUGUCAUUUUUGUCGGCAAGCCUGUAGAAAUGUGCAUUGGCUGCAAAAGAUUCAUUGAGCUUGUGGAUAUUAUUUACUGAAUGUUAAUUAUUUGCAUGUGCCAUGUUGAAUGCUGAUCAACAACUACUAUACAUGCUCUCACGAUUAGUAGCAAGCAGCAGUUGCAACUUGUAAUAACUUGACUGUAAUUGAGUCGGCAGUGUUGUAUCCGGAACACUUACUAUUGUUUGUAAUAGUGUGCUCAUUUUUAUCCUGUUAAGUUAAUUACUGGUGUAAAGAAUGGCAAAUUUAAUUAUGUUGAUUUAUUUCACUGGGCUUGAUCAAGUAUUUUGACCAUUUUCUCAUGCUGGUAUAUACGCACUAGAUCUAAAGGUUGGGCGCUGAUGGCCAUGGUCAACCACUAGGUCUCCAAGAUGGACGACAUCAUCAUGAUGUAGAGCAUUUAGGUAAUUGGCGAGCCGAGCCUUCCUUGGCUGACAGUGCAGGGCUGUACAUGGAGCAAGCCCGGUUGUGGCGCUCGUGAAGGGGGGACGUGGAUUCGGCCCUGGUGCAGCAGCAACGGGGAAGCAGAGCUGACGGGAGGGAGCCUUUCCUGUGGGAUGGAUCAUGCUUUUCGGUGAUGUUUGACUUGUUGGCUCUCUGCCAGCAUGGUGCCAGUGGUUGUCGGAUCUGGCUAGUCUUUAUAGGGAUAAGCUCGACUACUGGGAUGACCAGGGAGUAGUGCAGCAUGUAUUUGAAAUCCUGGUGUUUCCAAGUUGUUUUGUGUAGAUCAUUCCAAAAAAUCUGAGACUAGUUAAGCAUAUCAUGUACUGAUGUUGUUAUAUUAGAAUUGCUGGUAUUAUACUCCAUCCGUCCUUGCCCUUGACAACAA